Small nucleolar RNA from Solea solea (common sole), 70 nucleotides. RefSeq annotates it as small nucleolar RNA SNORD24. The record is from RefSeq and is a predicted model, not a curated record. The transcript has a single exon. NCBI's taxonomy places the organism in Eukaryota, Metazoa, Chordata, Actinopteri, Pleuronectiformes, Soleidae.
UGAAAAUGAUGUGAAAUAAUAUUUGCUAUCUUAUCAACCAUGCCGACAUCCCACCAAGAUCACUGAUUCA